AAGGGAGCUUGCUCCCGGAUGUUAGCGGAGGACGGCUGAGUAACACGUGGGUAACCUGCCUGUAAGACUGGGAUAACUCCGGCAAACCGGAGCUAAUACCGGAUAGUUCCUUGAACCGCAUGGUUCAAGGAUGAAAGACGGUUUCGGCUGUCACUUACMGAUGGACCCGCGGCGCAUUAKCUAGUUGGUGGGGUAAUGGCUCACCAAGGCGACGAUGCGUAGCCGACCUGAGAGGGUGAUCGGCCACACUGGGACUGAGACACGGCCCAGACUCCUACGGGAGGCAGCAGUAGGGAAUCUUCCGCAAUGGACGAAAGUCUGACGGAGCAMCGCCGCGUGAGUGAUGAAGGUUUUCGGAUCGUAAAGCUCUGUUGUUAGGGAASAACAAGUGCGAGAGUAACUGCUCSCACCUUGACGGUACCUAACCAKAAAGCCACGGCUAACUACGUGCCAGCAGCCGCGGUAAUAC
Molecule: ribosomal RNA, 469 nt
Filed under: Bacillus pumilus
Lineage: Bacteria; Bacillati; Bacillota; Bacilli; Caryophanales; Bacillaceae
Description: bacterial SSU rRNA
Rfam family: Bacterial small subunit ribosomal RNA
Source: RNAcentral